GACGAACGCUGGCGGCGUGCUUAACACAUGCAAGUCGAGCGGUAAGGCCCUUCGGGUACGACGAGCGGCGAACGGGUAGAGUAACACGUGGGUGACCUGCCUCUAGCUCUGGGAUAAGCCUGGGAAACUGGGUCUAAUACCGGAUAUGACUCCACGGCGCAUGUUGUGGGGUGGAAAGCCUUGUGUGGCUAGAGAUGGGCCCGCGGCCUAUCAGCUUGUUGGUGGGGUGAUGGCCACCAAGGCGACGACGGGUAGCCGGCCUGAGAGGGCGACCGGCCACACUGGGACUGAGACACGGCCCAGACUCCUACGGGAGGGCAGCAGUGGGGAAUCUUGCGCAAUGGGCGAAAGCCUGACGCAGCGACGCCGCGUGA
RNAcentral lists this ribosomal RNA (374 nucleotides) under uncultured bacterium. Its description in RNAcentral is "bacterial SSU rRNA". It matches the Rfam family "Bacterial small subunit ribosomal RNA", at positions 28 to 404 of the family's 1533-position model. The record is from RNAcentral.